AUUGAACGCUGGCGGCAUGCCUUACACAUGCAAGUCGAACGGUGAACAGGGGCUUGCCCCUGGGAUCAGUGGCGAACGGGUGAGUAACACGUGGGCAACCUGCCCCUCACUCUGGGAUAACUCCGGGAAACCGGGGCUAAUACCGGAUACGACCAGGCGCGACAUCGGGUCUGGUGGAAAGAACUUCGGUGUGGGAUGGGCCCGCGGCCUAUCAGCUUGUUGGUGGGGUGAUGGCCUACCAAGGCGACGACGGGUAGCCGGCCUGAGAGGGUGUCCGGCCACACUGGGACUGAGAUACGGCCCAGACUCCUACGGGAGGCAGCAGUGGGGAAUAUUGCACAAUGGGCGCAAGCCUGAUGCAGCGACGCCGCGU
Molecule: ribosomal RNA, 373 nt
Filed under: uncultured bacterium
Lineage: Bacteria
Description: bacterial SSU rRNA
Rfam family: Bacterial small subunit ribosomal RNA
Source: RNAcentral